This 101-nucleotide small RNA is filed under the name Flavobacterium gillisiae. Its description in RNAcentral is "Flavo-1 RNA". It matches the Rfam family "Flavo-1 RNA". Lineage: Bacteria; Pseudomonadati; Bacteroidota; Flavobacteriia; Flavobacteriales; Flavobacteriaceae. The record is from RNAcentral.
AAAUAGCCCAGAUAAAAGCGGCAUCCUUUUUAUCCUGAAAUUGGUUCUGGGAAGUGCACUAAUUCUUGGAUAAAAAGAUAGAGCGGAUAGCUGGAAAUAGC